RNAcentral lists this ribosomal RNA (301 nucleotides) under uncultured bacterium. Its description in RNAcentral is "partial 16S ribosomal RNA". It matches the Rfam family "Bacterial small subunit ribosomal RNA", at positions 512 to 810 of the family's 1533-position model. The record is from RNAcentral.
CAGCCGCGGUAACACGGAGGAUCCAAGCGUUAUCCGGAAUCAUUGGGUUUAAAGGGUCCGUAGGCGGUCUUGUAAGUCAGUGGUGAAAGCCCAUCGCUCAACGGUGGAACGGCCAUUGAUACUGCAGGACUUGAAUUAUUGGGAAGUAACUAGAAUAUGUAGUGUAGCGGUGAAAUGCUUAGAGAUUACAUGGAAUACCAAUUGCGAAGGCAGGUUACUACCAAUUGAUUGACGCUGAUGGACGAAAGCGUGGGUAGCGAACAGGAUUAGAGAUCCCCGUAGUCCCUGUCUCUUAUACACA